UACGUAGGGUGCGAGCGUUAAUCGGAUGUACUGGGCGUAAAGCGUGCGCAGGCGGCCCGUUAAGACAGGUGUGAAAUCCCUGGGCUCAACCUAGGAAUUGCGCUUGUGACUGGCGGGCUCGAGUACGGUAGAGGGGGGUGGAAUUCCUGGUGUAGCAGUGAAAUGCGUAGAGAUCAGGAGGAACACCGAUGGCGAAGGCAGCCCCCUGGGCCUGUACUGACGCUCAUGCACGCAAGCGUGGGGAGCAAACAGG
RNAcentral lists this ribosomal RNA (253 nucleotides) under uncultured microorganism. RNAcentral's name for it is "partial 16S ribosomal RNA". It matches the Rfam family "Bacterial small subunit ribosomal RNA", at positions 524 to 776 of the family's 1533-position model. The record is from RNAcentral.